AUGAAAGAAAGAGAAGCUGGAGUGCCUACCACAAAGAUGAGCAGAAGCAGGGGAGUUCGCUGGGAUGGAGGCGCUGGUGGCCUGGCCGUGGCCGUGGAGGAGGUGGGGGCGGAGGAGGAGUUGAGCGCUGGCCAGGGUCAGGCGGGGCAGAAGGUGAGCGCUGGCCUGGAGGAUCCCGGCGGAGAAGCAGGGGCGACGAGGGGCCUGGCGGAGGGGCAAAGAGGAGCGCUGGCCUGGAGGAGCCCGACGGAGGGGCGCGGAGGAGCACUGCCUCGUGGAUGGAGGAGGAAGACGGUUUGUUUUCAAACUAGGGGUAUUUCUGUACUUCUGUACGUUUUCACCUGGUUGGGGAGAACUCCCAGCGACAACUAUUUCGGAACGGAGGGAGUAUUAGGAAUUAAUUAG
This 405-nucleotide ribosomal RNA is filed under the name Triticum aestivum (bread wheat). Its description in RNAcentral is "partial small subunit ribosomal RNA". The record is from RNAcentral. Lineage: Eukaryota; Viridiplantae; Streptophyta; Magnoliopsida; Poales; Poaceae.